This 2271-nucleotide ribosomal RNA is filed under the name human gut metagenome. RNAcentral describes it as "bacterial LSU rRNA". It matches the Rfam family "Bacterial large subunit ribosomal RNA", at positions 291 to 2542 of the family's 2925-position model. The record is from RNAcentral.
GCCGCGCAUCCGGGGGCUGCCGCCCCCGGGCGCAGGUCCGGCUGGGGAGCGGAACGGCAUGGGAGGGCCGGCCGCAGCGGGUGACAGCCCCGUACGCGAACCCAGACCGGACGGCGCGACGCGGUCCCUGAGUAGGGCCGGGCACGUGAAACCCGGUCCGAACCUGGGUGGACCACCAUCCAAGCCUGAGUACUACCCUGUGACCGAUAGCGCACCAGUACCGUGAGGGAAAGGUGAAAAGCACCCCGGGAGGGGAGUGAAACAGUACCUGAAACCGUGCGCCCACGAGCAGUCGGAGCACCUUUAUGGUGUGACGGCGUGCCUUUUGUAGAAUGAGCCAGCGAGUCGCUGGCGCGGGGCGAGGUUAACCGAAAGGGAGCCGGAGCGAAAGCGAGCCUUAACAGGGCGACUUGAGUCCCGCGCCGCGGACGCGAAGCCGGGUGAGCUAUCCGUGGGCAGGCUGAAGCGGGGGUAAGACCCCGUGGAGGGCCGAACGCACGUCGGUUGAAAACGGCGGCGAUGACCUGCGGAUAGGGGUGAAAGGCCAAUCAAACCCGGAGAUAUCUCGUUCUCCCCGAAAUAGCUUUAGGGCUAGCGUCGCGCGUUCACCGCCGGAGGUAGAGCACCGGAUGGACGAGGGGGCUUCGCCGCCUACCGAAUCCAACCGAACUCCGAAUGCCGGCGGCCCAGAGCGCGGCAGUCAGAGCAUGUGGGCUAAGCUGUGUGCUCGAGAGGGAAACAGCCCGGACCGCCCGCUAAGGUCCCCAAGUUCCAGCCGAGUGGCAAAGGAUGUGCGUCCGCCCAGACAACCAGGAUGUUGGCUUAGAAGCAGCCAUACAUUCAAAGAGUGCGUAACAGCUCACUGGUCGAGUGGACAUGCGCCGACAAUACACGGGGCUAAGCUGGACACCGAAGCGGCGGGAUUUUAAUUCAUUAGAAUCGGUAGGGGAGCUUCCCAUGGGCGGAGAAGCCGGAGGGCGACCGACGGUGGAGCGCAUGGGAGUGAGAAUGCUGGCAUGAGUAGCGAGAGACGAGAGAGUAACUCGUCCGCCGUGAACCCGAGGUUUCCUGGGCAAGGCUAAUCCUCCCAGGGUCAGUCGGGGGCUAAGGCGAGGCCGGGAGGCGUAGCCGACGCGCAGCAGGCAGACAUUCCUGCACCGCGCACGCGGCGCUACGACCGACGGGGCGACGGAUGGGGGUGGCUCGGCGGGGUUCUGGACGUCCCCGUGAUGGAGCGCGGCCCGCGGACCAGGGAAAUCCGGUCCGCAUUGAGGGCGAGGCUCCGGACGAAGCGACUGAGCGAAGCGAGUGAGCCCGAGGUCCCUAGAAAAACCCCUAGGCAGGCGCGUGCGCGCCCGUACCGCAAACCGACACAGGUGGGUGGGUAGAACAUACCGAGGCGAUCGGGUCAACCAUGGUCAAGGAACUCGGCACAAUGGCCCCGUAACUUCGGGAGAAGGGGUGCCCGCGCGUACGUGAACCGGCUUGCCCGGGGAGCGGAGGCGGGCCGCAGUGGAGAGGCCCAAGCGACUGUUUACCAAAAACACAGGACUCUGCAGAAGCCGCAAGGCGACGUAUAGGGUCUGACGCCUGCCCGGUGCCGGAAGGUCACGCGGAGGAGUUAGCCGAUUCGGCGAAGCCCCGAAGCCAAGCCCCGGUAAACGGCGGCCGUAACUAUAACGGUCCUAAGGUAGCGAAAUUCCUUGUCGGGUAAGUUCCGACCUGCACGAAUGGUGUAAUGAUCCGGACGCUGUCUCGGCCAUGAUCUCAGUGAAAUUGUAGUAUCGGUGAAGAUGCCGAUUACCCGCGAUGGGACGAAAAGACCCCGUGAACCUUUACUACAGCUUAGCGUUGGGCUUGGUCAUCCGACGUGUAGGAUAGGCCGGAGGCUAUGAAGGGGGCGCGCCAGCGUCCGUGGAGCCGCCGUUGAAAUACGGCCCUUUGGCUGUCCGGGCUCUAACGCGCUAGUGUUGCGCGGACACCGCUUGGCGGGUAGUUUGACUGGGGUGGUCGCCUCCAAAAGCGUAACGGAGGCUUCCAAAGGUGCCCUCGGGCCGAUUGGUAACCGGCCUUUGGAGUGCAAUGGCAUAAGGGCGCUUGACUGGGAGGGAGACAUCCCGAGCAGGCAGGAAACUGGGGCAUAGUGAUCCGGCGGACGUGCGUGGAAACUCCGUCGCUCAAAGGAUAAAAGGUACUCCGGGGAUAACAGGCUGAUCCCCCCCAAGAGCUCAUAUCGACGGGGUGGUUUGGCACCUCGAUGUCGGCUCGUCA